AUAAAACAAAUGGAACGAAUCGUAGACAGUAAUUAUAUGAU
This 41-nucleotide non-coding RNA is filed under the name Trypanosoma brucei brucei. Lineage: Eukaryota; Euglenozoa; Kinetoplastea; Trypanosomatida; Trypanosomatidae. The record is from RNAcentral.